GCAGGCGUGUAAAUUACCCACUCCCAGCUCGGGGAGGUAGUGACGAAAAAUAACAAUACAGGACUCAUAUCCGAGGCCCUGUAAUUGGAAUGAGUUCAUUUUAAAUCCUUUAACAAGGACCAAUUGGAGGGCAAGUCUGGUGCCAGCAGCCGCGGUAAUUCCAGCUCCACUAGCGUAUAUUAAAGUUGUUGCGGUUAAAACGUUCGUAGUUGAACUUGUGCUUCAUACGGGUAGUACAACUUACAAUUGUGGUUAGUACUAUACCUUUAUGUAUGUAAGCUUAUUACCGGUGGAGUUCUUAUAUGUGAUUAAAUACUUGUAUUUUUUCAUAUGUUCCUCCUAUUUAAAAACCUGCAUUAGUGCUCUUAAACGAGUGUUAUUGUGGGCCGGUACUAUUACUUUGAACAAAUUAGAGUGCUAAAAGCAGGCUUUAAAUGCCUGAAUAUUCUGUGCACGGGAUAAUGAUAAUAAUAAGACCUCUGUUCUGCUUUCAUUGCUUUUCAGAUCAAA
RNAcentral lists this ribosomal RNA (510 nucleotides) under Drosophila melanogaster (fruit fly). RNAcentral's name for it is "SSU rRNA". It matches the Rfam family "Eukaryotic small subunit ribosomal RNA", at positions 428 to 861 of the family's 1831-position model. The record is from RNAcentral. Lineage: Eukaryota; Metazoa; Arthropoda; Insecta; Diptera; Drosophilidae.